AUACGUAGGGAGCAAGCGUUAUCCGGAUUUACUGGGUGUAAAGGGCGCGUAGGCGGGACGACAAGUCAGGUGUGAAAUCUAUGGGCUCAACCCAUAAACUGCACUUGAAACUGUUGUUCUUGAGUGAUGGAGAGGCAAGUGGAAUUCCUAGUGUAGCGGUGAAAUGCGUAGAUAUUAGGAGGAACACCAGUAGCGAAGGCGGCUUUCUGGACUGUAACUGACACUGAGGCACGAAAGCGUGGGGAGC
This 247-nucleotide ribosomal RNA is filed under the name uncultured bacterium. RNAcentral describes it as "partial 16S ribosomal RNA". It matches the Rfam family "Bacterial small subunit ribosomal RNA", at positions 523 to 769 of the family's 1533-position model. The record is from RNAcentral.